RNAcentral lists this small RNA (28 nucleotides) under Bombyx mori (domestic silkworm). RNAcentral's name for it is "ovarian small RNA-28503". The record is from RNAcentral. Lineage: Eukaryota; Metazoa; Arthropoda; Insecta; Lepidoptera; Bombycidae.
UCGAUGUCUAACUUCUUGGGGACUCCGC